Molecule: ribosomal RNA, 235 nt
Filed under: uncultured bacterium
Lineage: Bacteria
Description: partial 16S ribosomal RNA
Rfam family: Bacterial small subunit ribosomal RNA
Source: RNAcentral
AGCGAACGCUGGCGGCAGGCCUAACACAUGCAAGUCGAACGCCCAGCAAUGGGAGUGGCAGACGGGAUAGUAACACGUGGGAACGCGCCCUUCGGUUCGGAAUAACUCAGGGAAACUUGAGCUAAUACCGGAUACGCCUUACGGGAAGAUUAUUGCCGAAGGAACGGCCCGCGUCGGAUUAGCUAGUUGGUGAGGUAAUGGCUCACCAAGGCGACGAUCCGUAGCUGGUCUGAGA